GUCAGAAUCAUCCAAGUGAAACAAAACCUGAAGCCCUUUAAAUAAGUGGUAUGGGAUCAAAAUCCGGACCCCUUUAAAUAGGCUGUUCGGUGCCAGAUCUCAAGCCAGCCAGAAGUGCACACUGUACCAGCAUCAACUGGAGCCUGAUCGUUUUCACCUGGCAGCACGGCACAGCAAAUGGCCAUCACCCCUCUCCUGCCUUGCACUGGCACCAGGGUUUUUUCUCUUCUGGAAGUGAAGGCAGAACAGUGCGAGGAGCUUGAUGGCUACCACAGCCAACCCAGGGUUACCCUUCUGGAGGAAGAGCAAUUGUGCAUAUCUGCAUCCAGGGUCUUCCAGGUGAUCACUACACAGAGUAAGUCUCAACCCUUCCUGAGACAGCUGAUAAGAGUGUCUGUGUUGGAGGCAGCUAGGAUUUUGGAGCCAAAGGAAGUCCCUGAUAAAGGGCACACCACUGCUUUGCUUUUUGCUCACACAGUUGCUGUACAGCCCAUGGGGCGGCCCUGCUCCUCCUGCACCACCACAAUGAUGUCUUUGAAAAAACCAGGAUAGCCCCAUGCUGAGGUGGGUGUGCAAAACACUCCCUUGCUGCCUUCUGU
RNAcentral lists this long non-coding RNA (599 nucleotides) under Aquila chrysaetos chrysaetos. RNAcentral's name for it is "lncRNA (ENSACCG00020004042.1)". The record is from RNAcentral. Lineage: Eukaryota; Metazoa; Chordata; Aves; Accipitriformes; Accipitridae.